GAGAUACUCCCUCCGUCCGGAAAUAAUUGUCGGAGGAAUGGAUGUAUCUAGACGUAUUUUAGUUCUAGAUACAUCCAUUUUUAUGCAUUUCUUCGACAAGUAUUUCCGGACGAAGGGAGUAUAAA
This is a non-coding RNA of Triticum aestivum (bread wheat), 125 nucleotides long. NCBI's taxonomy places the organism in Eukaryota, Viridiplantae, Streptophyta, Magnoliopsida, Poales, Poaceae. The record is from Rfam.